RNAcentral lists this ribosomal RNA (415 nucleotides) under uncultured cyanobacterium. Its description in RNAcentral is "bacterial SSU rRNA". It matches the Rfam family "Bacterial small subunit ribosomal RNA", at positions 356 to 786 of the family's 1533-position model. The record is from RNAcentral. Lineage: Bacteria; Bacillati; Cyanobacteriota.
GGGGAAUUUUCCGCAAUGGGCGAAAGCCUGACGGAGCAAGACCGCGUGGGGGAUGAAGGUUUGUGGAUUGUAAACCCCUUUUGAUUGGGAAGAAUACUGACGGUACCAAUCGAAUAAGCCUCGGCUAACUCCGUGCCAGCAGCCGCGGUAAUAACGGAGGAGGCAAGCGUUAUCCGGAAUUAUUGGGCGUAAAGCGUCCGUAGGUGGUUUAGUAAGUCUGCUGUUAAAGCGCGGGGCUUAACUCCGUAUCGGCAGUGGAAACUACUAGANUAGAGUGUGGUAGGGGUAGAGGGAAUUCCCAGUGUAGCGGUGAAAUGCGUAGAUAUUGGGAAGAACACCGGUGGCGAAAGCGCUCUACUGGGCCAUAACUGACACUGAUGGACGAAAGCUAGGGGAGCGAAAGGGAUUAGAUACC